RNAcentral lists this transfer RNA (85 nucleotides) under Acetobacteraceae bacterium. Its description in RNAcentral is "tRNA-Leu". It matches the Rfam family "tRNA". From Rfam's summary of the family: Transfer RNA (tRNA) molecules are approximately 80 nucleotides in length. Their secondary structure includes four short double-helical elements and three loops (D, anti-codon, and T loops). Further hydrogen bonds mediate the characteristic L-shaped molecular structure. tRNAs have two regions of fundamental functional importance: the anti-codon, which is responsible for specific mRNA codon recognition, and the 3' end, to which the tRNAs corresponding amino acid is attached (by aminoacyl-tRNA synthetases). tRNAs cope with the degeneracy of the genetic code in two manners: having more than one tRNA (with a specific anti-codon) for a particular amino acid; and 'wobble' base-pairing, i.e. permitting non-standard base-pairing at the 3rd anti-codon position. Lineage: Bacteria; Pseudomonadati; Pseudomonadota; Alphaproteobacteria; Acetobacterales; Acetobacteraceae. The record is from RNAcentral.
GCGGAUGUGGUGAAAUUGGUAGACACGCCAGAUUUAGGUUCUGGUGGCGAAAGCUGUGGGGGUUCAAGUCCCUCCAUCCGCACCA